Molecule: ribosomal RNA, 518 nt
Filed under: uncultured bacterium
Lineage: Bacteria
Description: bacterial SSU rRNA
Rfam family: Bacterial small subunit ribosomal RNA
Source: RNAcentral
AGAGUUUGAUCCUGGCUCAGGAUGAACGCUGGCGGCGUGCUUAACACAUGCAAGUCGAACGGAGAGCCUAUGACGGAGUUUUCGGACAACUGAUUAGGUUUCUUAGUGGCGGACGGGUGAGUAACGCGUGAGGAACCUGCCUUGGAGUGGGGAAUAACACAGAGAAAUUUGUGCUAAUACCGCAUAAUGCAGUUGGGUCGCAUGGCCCUGACUGGCCAAAGAUUUAUCGCUCUAAGAUGGCCUCGCGUCUGAUUAGCUAGUUGGUGGGGUAACGGCCCACCAAGGCGACGAUCAGUAGCCGGACUGAGAGGUUGACCGGCCACAUUGGGACUGAGACACGGCCCAGACUCCUACGGGAGGCAGCAGUGGGGAAUAUUGGGCAAUGGGCGCAAGCCUGACCCAGCAACGCCGCGUGAAGGAAGAAGGCUUUCGGGUUGUAAACUUCUUUUAUAAGGGACGAACACAAUGACGGUACCUUAUGAAUAAGCCACGGCUAACUACGUGCCAGCAGCCGCGGU